Molecule: long non-coding RNA, 3680 nt
Filed under: Olea europaea subsp. europaea
Lineage: Eukaryota; Viridiplantae; Streptophyta; Magnoliopsida; Lamiales; Oleaceae
Source: RNAcentral
AUCUUCAAAUAAUUCAAUGAAAAGAAUAUUCAUUCCAUAUCAAACUCUAGAAUUUAUCAUGGUAUCAGAGCUUUAGGUCUUCAAACGCCAUACCUACGUUUGCCAUGGCCAAGGCUGCUCCUAUUUUGGAUGCCCAAAUAUCCCUCACAGAUGUUUUAUCUCCUUAUUAUUUGCAUUCGUCAGAUCAACCAAAUCUAUUCCUAGUCAAUACAUCUCUCAAUGGUGAUAAUUAUCCUACUUGGCGCCGAGCAAUCACUCGUGCACUAAAUGCCAAGAAAAAAUUGGGCUUCAUUCUCGGCACCAUCACACGUCCUGAUGGUGACACAGCAGCCGGACUUCUUUGGGACCGUUGUUGUGACAUGAUAAUGUCAUGGCUCCUCCAUUCAAUUGACCGUUCCCUUGCAGGCAGCCUCCUCUACUGCGCUACACCAAACGAUAAAUGGUUGGAACUAGAAACUCGAUUCCAGCAAAGCAACCGCACCAAAAUUUUUCGGCUCAAACGAGACUUAGCCAACCUCCACCAAGACCAACAAUCAAUCACUGAAUAUUAUGAAAAAUUGAAGGAACUAUGGGAUGAAUUAACCUCUUUACAAUCCAUCAAGUCGUGUACAUGUGGUGCUUCUAAAUCCCUCUCUGAGCUCCAAGAAUCUGAUCGUAUAUAUCAAUUUCUCAUGGGUCUCAACGAAAGUUUCGGACAACUUCACUCACAGAUUUUGGCCAUUGAUCCCCUGCCUUCAACAAUAGAUGUUAUGUCAUACUCCAUCAAGAAGAGACCCAGCGUCUAGUUCAACAGCCCACACCUCAACUAGAAGUCUUGACCUUCACCGCCCGCUCGUCGACACCAUCACAGCCUCCGUCACGCCCUCAUCGUACUUGGGCUGCUGGAACGAACCUUUGUGAAGUGUGCGGCAAAUCAGGACACCCUCGUAACAAGUGCUUCGAAGUAAUUGGGUACCCGGAUUGGUGGCCAUUCAAGAACAAAUGUGGCAAAACCCGCCUCUCAUCACUGGCAGUCCACCAAGUGUCGGCCGCCUCUAACACUCCCACAACAAGCGGCGUUACAGGACUUUCCACCAACUAGUACAACCAACUCCUAGAACUUCUCACACUGGGAUCUCUUUCAUUUCAGGUAACUUUAAUACCCCCAAUUCCUUCUCUAAUUGCAAAUCGUGGGUUAUUGAUAGUGGAGCUACCCACCAUAUUGCAAAUCAGCCCUUUCCAAAUUCUUAAGUUGCUACUUUGCCCCUAUUGUAAACCCGUCUCCCGUUAAUUCCAAUUCUAAUGUUUCUCCCCUUCUGUAUGUCUCCCCACAGGUGCACACGCCUCUGUGCUCACUAUAAGUGAUAUUUCUAUAUCUCAUAAUCUCACUCUUUCCAAUGUUCUAUCUGUUCCUGAUUUUCAAUUUAAUCUAUUAUCUAUUAGAAAGCUAACCAAAUCUCUUAACUGUGUUGUCACGUUUUUUCCUACCUUAUGCACUUUUCAAGACCUAACCAUGACAAAGCUAAUUGGCGUGGGUGAAGAGCGUAAUAGACUUUACUAUUUCAAGCCUACUCCUGCAAUUACUCUCCAAUCAACCGGUCAAGUUCCUUUUACUACAUGGCAUCAACGUUUGGGUCAUCCCUCUUUACAUACUGUUCCUCAAUUUAUUUCUCGUCCUAAAAUUAUUAAACAUUGUGACGCAUGUAAUCGUGGAAAACAUACUCGGUUACCUUUUCAGUUAAUUGAUAAUAAGAGUUUGAUACCCUUUGAAUGUAUUUUUUGUGAUAUUUGGGGUGGUUACCAUAAAGCUUCUUUUUCUGGUGCUCAUUAUUUUUUAACCAUAGUUGAUGAAUUCACUCGAGUCACGUGGGUAUACUUAAUGCGUUAUAAAUCCGAAACUCUAACCUGCCUCUAUACAUUUUUUUCUAUGAUUCAUACGCAAUUUAAUUCCAAAAUUUGUCACAUUCGCACUGAUAAUGGUCAAGAAUUCAUCGCUCGCAAUACCUAGGAUUUUUUUUUCUAAACAGGGUACUCUCCAUGAACGCACUUGUGUGGAAACACCACAACAAAAAUGGUGUUGCCGAACGAAAACAUCGUCACAUCUUAAAUGUGGCUCGAUGUCUACGUUUUCACGCUUACCUCCCUCUUACCUUUUGGGGUGAGUGUCUCCUUACCGCCACUUAUCUCAUCAAUCGCAUUCCUUCAUCCUUCCUACAAAAUAUAUCCCAUUUUGAGCGUCUUUAUAGGACAACACCCCGUUAUGAUCAAUUGUGGGUUUUUAGUUGUCUUUGUUACGCUCACACUAUCUCUGCCAACCGUGACAAAUUCCAACCUCGUGCCCGUCCUUGUAUUUUCCUAGGGUACCCUUCGACUCAUAGGGCAUAUCGUGUUUAUAAUCUUGAAACCAAGAAGUUUAUUAUCUCUCGAGACAUCACCUUUGUUGAACAUAUUUUUCCCUUCCAAUUAUUGCCUCAACCUUCUUUUGUACCCCUUGUCUUGCCUUUCCCUGUUCCCGAUUCUCGUACUCCAUUAGACUGACCCUCUAUCCCAUCUGGUCCUACAUUAUUCCAUCCUGAUGCUUUUCUCGUUUCUCCCCUUGCUCGGCCUCAACGCACUAUACAUCGUCCUUCUUAUCUCGCUGACUAUGUCUGCCCUACUCUACCAUCGCCUUCAUCCAUUACGCCUUCUACUGCUCCGGUCACUUCUUCAGGUACGGUUCAUCCCCUCGCUCGCUUUGUUUCAUAUAGUAAUUUUUCUCCUGCUCACUUUACUUUCUUAUCUGCUUUAUCACAAUUGAUAAAUGUAGUUUCUACACUUAUUUGGAAUUCUAAAUGAUGAUACUUUGUUAUUUUUUGAGUGGAUUAGUACCUGAUUUGUUAUUUAUUGCUUUUAUUAGGAAAAGUUCAUGUUUCAAAGAAGAAUUGGAAAAAAGAACAGAAAAUGGCUAAAUGAAACAAAUCCAAAGUAUGGGGACCAAAGUGUAAAUAUUUAAUGGUUGAUUUGGACCACAAAAGAUAAUUUGAAGAUUGAUAGAAGUCAAUUAAAUGCAAAUUGGAGUAAAAAAGGAAAGGGAUAUGAUUAGAAUAUUACCAUAAACCGACUUCAAAUCAUAUAGGAUAUCUUCAAGAUUUUUGUUCAACUUGAGACCCAUUUUUCAGAUGGAGAACAUUUGAAUUGGAAAAAUUGUAUUUCUAGAAGAAUUGUAGAUCUGUUAAUUAGCGUUCCAAUGCACUUUGCAUCACCUAAAUCGGAAAUUGAGAGAGAAAGUUAUGAUUAAAAUGCUGAAUGCUAUGCAGAGACAAAAUUAUGUGCGCGCGAAUGCAACUUUCCUUAUUUAAUUCAAACUCUUUUGGAAGACAAUUUGGACAUGAAUUUUGACCUAAUUUCAGAAAAUAAAUACAAAAAUUUCUCUCUCUUGCCUCUUCAUACACAAUAGUUUCAUCAAAUUCAUCAAGAACAAGGAGCCAAUUGCUAUAUUUUGAGAGAGAAGAUCAAGCCAUAGCAAGGAAUUGAAGUUCAAUUACAUCAAGUUUUGAAGAAUUCAACUUUGGACGUGAAGAUCAACAUCUUUUGUGUUCUUUCAUGAUCCGGGUGAUAUUUUUCUAUUAUUCUUCUUGUAAUUUAUAUAUUAAUAUGCUAGGCUAGUUUUUUAUUGUAUUGGAUGAAUGAUGAACCCUAUCAUUUGUUUAUUUCAAUUUAAG